AUGGUCAGCGGACUUGCAUCCUUCCUGCCUCCCCGUUUAUACAGAGCACUCAAAGCUGGUAGACAGAAUUCAUCGGGUUUGUGCUGGAAGGCAUUUUUGGGUUUUGUAAAACUUUCAUUGCUGCUCUUCCGCCGGCAUUUUAAAUCCAGCUCCAUACAACGCUCCGCCGCCGCUGCUGCCGUGACCAGGACUGCGCGCCAGCACCCCACUGCCGACAGCUCCGCCACUAUGGAGGACAUGAACGAGUACAGCAACAUAGAAGAAUUCGCAGAGGGAUCCAUGAUCAACGCGAGCAAGAAUCAGCAGGAUGACGGUUGUAGACUGUACGAUUAAAACAGAUCCCGUCACUGGAAGAUCAAGAGGAUUUGUAUUUGUGCUUUUUAAAGAUGCUGCUAGUGUUGAUAAGGUUUUGGAACUGAAAGAACACAAACUGGAUGGCAAAUUGAUAGACCCCAAAAGGGCCAAAGCUUUGAAAGGGAAAGAACCCCCUAAAAAGGUUUUUGUGGGUGGAUUGAGCCCAGAUACUUCUGAAGAACAAAUUGAAGAAUAUUUUGGAGCCUUUGGAGAGAUUGAAAAUAUUGAACUUCCCAUGGAUACAAAAACAAAUGAAAGAAGAGGAUUUUGUUUUAUCACAUAUACAGAUGAAGAGCCAGUAAAGAAAUUGUUAGAAAGCAGAUAUCAUCAAAUUGGUUUUGGGAAGUGUGAAAUCAAAGUUGCACUGCCCAAAGAGGUAUAUAGGCAGCAACAGUAACAACAAAAAGGAGGAAGAGGUGCUGCAGCUGGUGGGCGAGGUGGUACCAGGGGUCGUGGCCGAGGUCAACAGAGCACUUAUGGCAAGGCUUCUCGAGGGGGUGGCAAUCACCAAAAUAAUUACCAGCCAUACUAGAGGAGGACAUUGGAGAAAACAGGAGAUGCUAAAGAAACCCAUCUUGCAGGACGACAUUGAAGAUUGAUCUUCUGUUGAUCUAAGAUGAUUAUUUUGUAAAAGACUUUCUAGAGUUCAAGACACAACUACUGUGUCCAACUGUAUAUAGCCGCCAAUUAGUUUUCUUUGUUUUUACUUUGUCCUUUGCUAUCUGUGUUAUGACUCAAUGUGGAUUUGUGUUUAUACAAAUUUUAUUUGUAUGAUUUCAUGUUAAACCUCAAAUAAAUGCUUCCUUAUGUGA
Marmota flaviventris (yellow-bellied marmot) is the source of this 1166-nucleotide non-coding RNA. The record is from RefSeq and is a predicted model, not a curated record. Lineage: Eukaryota; Metazoa; Chordata; Mammalia; Rodentia; Sciuridae.